RNAcentral lists this ribosomal RNA (435 nucleotides) under uncultured Bacteroides sp. RNAcentral describes it as "bacterial SSU rRNA". It matches the Rfam family "Bacterial small subunit ribosomal RNA", at positions 358 to 790 of the family's 1533-position model. Lineage: Bacteria; Pseudomonadati; Bacteroidota; Bacteroidia; Bacteroidales; Bacteroidaceae. The record is from RNAcentral.
GGAAUAUUGGUCAAUGGACGAGAGUCUGAACCAGCCAAGUAGCGUGAAGGAUGAAGGUCCUACGGAUUGUAAACUUCUUUUAUAAGGGAAUAAAACCUCCCACGUGUGGGAGCUUGUAUGUACCUUAUGAAUAAGCAUCGGCUAACUCCGUGCCAGCAGCCGCGGUAAUACGGAGGAUGCAAGCGUUAUCCGGAUUUAUUGGGUUUAAAGGGAGCGCAGACGGGUCGUUAAGUCAGCUGUGAAAGUUUGGGGCUCAACCUUAAAAUUGCAGUUGAUACUGGCGUCCUUGAGUGCGGUUGAGGUGUGCGGAAUUCGUGGUGUAGCGGUGAAAUGCUUAGAUAUCACGAAGAACUCCGAUUGCGAAGGCAGCACACUAAGCCGUAACUGACGUUCAUGCUCGAAAGUGUGGGUAUCAAACAGGAUUAGAUACCCUUG